This 484-nucleotide ribosomal RNA is filed under the name uncultured bacterium. Its description in RNAcentral is "partial 16S ribosomal RNA". It matches the Rfam family "Bacterial small subunit ribosomal RNA", at positions 30 to 507 of the family's 1533-position model. The record is from RNAcentral.
AUUGAACGCUGGCGGCAGGCCUAACACAUGCAAGUCGAGCGGAUGAAGGGAGCUUGCUCCUGGAUUCAGCGGCGGACGGGUGAGUAAUGCCUAGGAAUCUGCCUGGUAGUGGGGGAUAACGUCCGGAAACGGGCGCUAAUACCGCAUACGUCCUGAGGGAGAAAGUGGGGGAUCUUCGGACCUCACGCUAUCAGAUGAGCCUAGGUCGGAUUAGCUAGUUGGUGGGGUAAAGGCCUACCAAGGCGACGAUCCGUAACCGACCUGAGAGGAUGAUCAGUCACACUGGAAAUUAGACACAGUCCAGACUCCUACGGGAGGCAGCAGUAGGGAAGCUUGCGCAAUGGGCGAAAGCUGGACGGAGCAACGCCGCGUGAGGGAUGAAGGUCUUCGGAUCGUAAAACUCUGUUAUUAGGGAAGAAAAAAUGUGUAAGUAACUAUGCACGUCUUGACGGUACCUAAUCAGAAAGCCACGGCUAACUACGUG